GUGAAGCUGAAGAGUAGGAAAAUAAACUACUCAAAAUACAGAGGAACAAUUUUUCAAAAUAAAAAGGGCAUUGAUGAACUGUGGGACAACGUUAAGCAAUCAAAUGUCCAUGUAACUGGAGUCUUAUGAAAGGGAAGAGAAAAAUAAUGGCCAAAAGUUUUCCAAGUUGAGUGACAGCUAUAAAACCACAAAUCUAAGAAGCACAAUGAAACCCAAUCUUAAGAAACAGGAGUAAAAUGACACCACUGUAUAUCAUCAUCAAAUUGCUACAAACCAGUGAUGAAGACAAAGUUUUAGACUAGACAGAGAAAUAAAACUGAAAGGACCAAAGACAAAAAUGACAGAAUUCUCAGUGGAAACGAUAGAGGCAAGAGCAUGGUGUAACAACAUCUUUAAGGUAUGAAAAGCAAAAACUCUACCAACCUAGAAUUCUACACCCAGUGAAAGUAUCUUUCAAAAAUAAAGGCAAAAUAGUGACUUGUCAGACACUGAAAGAAUUUAUCACAGCAGUUAUGUACUAUAAGGAAUGUUAAAAGAAGUCCUUCAGGGAAAAAAAAAAUACGGUAACAGGUGGAAAUAGGGAUCUUCAUUUACAAAGAAUGAAGAUCACUGGGAAUAGUAACUAUGUGGGUAGAUAUACACUAUUUCUUAUUGUUUAAAUCUUUUUGCAAGAUAUCUGACAGAGUAACCAAAAAUAAUAGUAACAUAUUGUUGGGUUUUAAACCUAUGUAAAGUUAUACAUGUAUGCCAGCGUAGAGGUCAGAGAGGAGAGAUGCUAAUAUACUACUAUAAGAUUUCCAUGCUACUUGUGAUGUGACAUAGUAUCAUUUGAAGGUAUACUGUUAAAAUGUAUCCUAUAAAUCGUGAAGCAAGCACUAAAGAGCAAAGCAACGAGUUACAGCAAAUAAGCCAACAAGGGAGGUAAAAUUGAAUAAUGGAAAAUAUUCAGUUAACCCAAAAGAAGGCAGAAAAAGAGAGAAAAGGGAACUGAGGUCAGAAAGGACAAAUAGAAAGCAAAUACCAAGAUGAUGGGCUUUAACCUAACCAUAUCAAUAAUCACAUUAAAUGUAAAUGCACUAAUUGUUUCAGUUAUAAGGCAGAAAGAACUCUCUGCCUUUUACCCAAUUAGAUAAAAAAACAACAAGAUUCUACUCCAUGCUGCUUGCAAGAAACACACUUUAAAUAUAAAGGUACAAAUGACAGUAAAAAGAUAGGGGAAAUCUACCAUGCUAACACUAAUCAAAAGGAAGCUUUGGUGGCUGAUUUAAUGUCAGUUUAAGUAGAAUUCAAAACAAAGAAUAUCAGGGAUAAAGAAGGUAGUUUAAUAAUUUAAUAAAGGGAUCCUUCAUUAAGAGAACAUACCAACCGGGCACUGGGGUGUCUCAGUCGGUGAAGUGUCUGACUUUGGCUCAGGUCAUGAUCUCUCAGUUCCUGGGCUCGAGCCCCACGUCAGCUCUGUGCUGACAGCUCAGAGCCUGGAGCCUGCUUCAGAUUCUGUCUCCCUUUUCUCUGCCCCUCCCCCACUUGCUCUCAUGCGUGCUCUCUCUCUCUCUCUCUCUCUCUCUCUCUCUCAAAAAUAAAUAAACAUUUAAAAAAAAAGGAGUGAGAGAGAAUAUAGCAACCCUAAAUAUUUAUGUACCUCGUAAGAGAGCUUCAAAAUACAUGAAGCAAAAACUCAUGGAACUGCAAAGAGAGAUAGACAUAGCCACAACUAUGAGAUUUAACACUUUUCUCUCAAAAAUUGGUAGAACAAGUAGAACCAGCAAGGAUAUAGUAGACUUUAACAGCGUCAUCAACCCCAUGACCCAGUUAACAUUUAUAGAACAUUCUACCCGAUAACAGCAGAGUGUACAUGCUUUUCAAGUACAUGCAGAGCAUUUACCAAGAUUGAUCAUAUUCUGGGUUGGAAAACAAGUCUCCAUAAAUUUAAAAGGAUUCAAGUGAUACAAAGUAUGUUUUCUGACCACAGUGGAAUUAAAUUUAGAAACCAAUAACAGAACAGUCUCUUAACAUUUCCAAAUGUUUGGAAACUAUAACUCACUUAUGAAUAACAGAUGGGUCAAAGAAGAAAUCAAAAGGAAAAUUAGAAAACGUUUUGAACUGGGGCGCCUAGGUGGCUCAGUCCGUUGGGCAUCCGACUUCGAAUUCAGGUCGUGAUCUCACGGUUCGUGAGUUGGAGCCCCGCGUCGGGCUCUGUGCUGAUAGCUCAGAGCCUGGAGCCUGCUUUGUAUUCUGUCUCCCUCUUUCUCUGCCCCUCCUCCACUCAUGCUCUGUCUCUUUCUUAAAAAUAAAUAAACAUUUUUAAAAAAUGUUUUGAACUGAAUGGUAAUGAAAACAACAUAUCAGAAUUUGUGGGAUGUCACUAAAGCAGUACUUACAGGGAAAUUUGUAGCAUUAAAUGCUUAUAUUAGAAAAGAAAAAUGGUGUCAAAUUGACAACACCAGCUUCUACUUUAAGAAACCAGAAAAAUAAGAACAAGUUAAUCCAAAAUAAACAGAAGAAAGGAAAUUUUAAAAAGAUCAAAGCAGAGAUCAAUGAAGUAGAAAAGAGAAAAACAAUAGGAAAAAAAUCAAUGAAACCAAAAGCUGACACUUUGAGAUGGUCAAUUAAAUGGAUUAACUUCUAACCAGACUGAUGAGAAAGAGAAGACGCAAAUUACCAAUAUCAGGAAUGAGGUGAUGUAACUAUAGAUUCUAUAAUGAUUAGGAGAAUAGUAAAGGAAUAUCCUGAACAACUUUAUGCCUGUAAAUUCAGCAACUUAGUUGAAAUGAUAAAUUCCUUGGAAGUUCACUCAAAAAGGAAAUAAUUAACCAAAAUAGUCCUAUAUAUAUUAAAGAAAUUGAUAUUAUAGUUAAGAACCUCCCUACAAAGAAAACUUUAAGCCCAGAUGGGUUCAUUGGUGAAUUCCACGAAGUAGAAUUUAAGAAAUAAUACAAACAACUCUUCUACACCAACUCUUCCAAAAAAUUAAAGAGAGUGGAGUACUUUCCAACUCAUUGUGAACUCAGCAUUACCCUGAUACUAAAACAAGGCGAAGAUAUUGCGAGAAAAUUACAUUAUCGACCAGCGUCCCUCAUGAACAGAUUGGACAGGUGCUGUUAUUGUUAUCAUUGUCAUUACUCACCUUUUUUUCAGAUCAGCAAAUAGAAGAAUCAAAAUGGGGGAGGGAAAGAGAUCUGGGGCAAAAGUCACACAGGUACACCCUGAGUUCUAACUAGAGUUUAGUUGGAAAUGGAUUUGUUGUCGUGGUUUGCUAACCAUUAUCCAAAACGCCCAGAAAAAGAGGUAGGGAAUCAGGAAGAGGGAAAGCCCUGAGGGGGAAAUGGCCCCAUGGGCCCAGGAGAGCUGGCAAUGCUGAGGUCCUAUUCAAGGACAACCACCUCCCCCCCUUGAUAGUGUGGCCUUGCUGAUGCUGAAGGUUUGAGAACCAGGAAAGCCUGAUCUUUAUUGGUACUCCGAGAAUCUUCUCAAAUGGUGAUGUAAACCUGAGCAAGAAAGGCCAGGGAUGUAACCUGCCCCCUGCACAGCCAUGUCAUGGAUGUAUCCAGAGCUAAUUAAAUCAGGAACCUAAUCUAAAGUCACUGGGCUUCUUUCCCACUCCUCCACCCCGAGUCUGUAGCCCACCUAAAAUACAGCUAGCCCCUACUCAUUUAUACGAAAACAAUCAAGUGUCAGUCCCUGCCUUAAGGAAAUCUCAAGCCUGUUAGUCACUGUUAACUGUCUGUGAGUCAUUCAUUCAUUCAUUCAUUCAUUCAGUAAAUAUUUAUCAUGUGCCUACCAUGUGUGCUUAUUGUAUAGGCUAGUCCCUGGGGAAACAGCAAUGAACAAAAUAGCCAAAAUUUCCUUUUUUCCUGGUGUUUACAUUCUACUGGGUGGAAGAGGUCAUAAAUAAAUGCAUUAUUUUUUCAGAUGGUGAUAAAUGAUAUAAGAAACAUAAACAGAGUGAGGGGUAGAGAAAGUAAUAGGAAUGGAAUGGAUUUUUAUUUCCCUGCUGGGGGGAGGCCUCUCUAAUGAGAUGACAUAUGAACAGAGAUAUGAAGAAGUGUGAGGUCUAUCUAGCAGGGCAGUUAACUGGGGGAAGAGGCCUGCAGGCAGAAGAAACAAUAAGUGCAAAGGCCCCAGGGCCAUCAUGCUUGCCUUAUGGAGCCCAGUGAGCCAGGAGGAAAGUGAUGAGAAGCAAGCCUGGAGAGAUGUCAGGGCCACGGUGGGACUUUGGCUUUGACCAAAGGGAGUAAAAUGGGAAACUCUGGAGAGUUUUGAGCACUGAGCGACAUAGUCUGAUUUUCAUUUUCAAAGGAUCACUUCAGUUGCUAUGUUAAGAAUAGACUGUAGGCGGCCAAGAGUGGAGCAGGGAAGCCAGUUAGGAGUUUAUUACAGCCAGGCGGGCAGAGAAGAGGGACAAUGACUCAGACCACCGUGGCAGAGAAGGAGCAGAGAAGCAGUGGCCAUGUUCUAGAAAUAUUUUGAAGGUGGAGAUGAUGGGAUUUACUUAUAGACAAUAUGGAUAUGGAAAAAAAAAAAAAAAGAGCGAGAGAGAGAGAAGAGACUGAGACAAUGCGAGGUUUUUGGCCAGAGCAACUGUGAAGAUGGAGUUGCCAUUUACAGGAACAAAGGCUUGGAGAAGAGCAGAUUUGGGGAAAAUCAAGAUUUCUAUUUCAGCCAAGUUUAAGACAUUCCUGAACAUCCAAGUGACGAGGUCAAGUAGGCAGUUUAAUAAACGGUGCCAUUUAUGUUGUGAAAAAUGGGAAUGGUGACGGGAUCCUUUUUGAGUUGCUGUGUUUUUAUUGUGGUUUUAAUUAACUUGCUUUCCUUGAAUAGCAAGAAGUGUUUGAGGCGUAAUGGGUAGUAAAUCUAAAAAUGAUCCAAGAUCGGCUGUGGUCUGCGGUGUGGUGUGUGGGAUGACGAAGUUUGUGCGCACGUUCGGGUCACGGCAGGAGCCGUGCCCACCCCCACCCACCAUCGGCAAUGGGAAUGACUGGCUGGAGUCCGCACCCACCCCUCUCCCACCCGCCACGGCGCGGAGAGGUUUGUCAGACCCUCUGUAGAACAGUGACAGGCUUGGAAGACAUAUUUAGUAAGUAUUAGCAGUUUUUACCCUUUUUAGCAUGAUUCGUGUGCUGGAGUGAGCUUGCUUGGCACGUCUAUAAUGGAGUACUUCAGUAUAAGAUGAGCACCCCCGAGAUGCUCAGGCCGGGAGGGGUGAAGCCUCCCUAGUUUGGCAGCUGUUAGCAGGGCGGUUGUGUAGGUAGGGGUAGGGGCAGGAGGGCAGAGAGAAGGGCUGUCGCCUGAGUGAUUUGUGAGCUGGGAAAGGAAAAAGUCCAGAUUUCCUUGGGAGCAUCACUGAUUUUUCAGGAGGCUCAAAUCAGUUCUCCUCUGAAAUUAAACGACUCUCUUCUGAACAGACAACAGUGAUUGACCCAUCGGACCUAAUAUCGGAAUUUAAAGGUCCUCAUGAGCCUUACAAUAAAAUGGCAGCCAACAAAAUCUCUCCAAUUGACUUCUUUUCUGUAAUUUUAAAAGCGAAUUUCAGUGAAUUCAGCCCUUGGGUUGAAAUUACGGAGAUAAAUGGCUUGUAAGCAAAAAUGGCUGUGUGUCAAAACGGGCAUAUAUAUCCCCUACAAUUUAUGCUAGGCAAAAACCACUUGACAUCCCCAUGAGCUGAUGUGUGGUUUGUGUUCUUUUAUCAUUUCUGCAGACAAAUGCAUUUUCUAAGUCUUCUAGAAAUGGAUGCUGUGUACUCCAUGAGUAAUAACAGUGUCUCCCAUUUAUCAAGUGCUUGUGUGCCAAGCAUGGGGCUGAGCACUUUACCAGCCUGCCUCGAUUUACUUCUUCCCACUUUGAGGUUUUGUGUGAUCAUAUUUUUUUUCCUUUAGGUUUCAACAUUGUUUUCUCGUUUACAAAAACACCGUUACAACUCUUUGUAACUCCAGCCUCUCUGAAAUUGUUUGUAUCUAACGGGGAUCACUAGCUCCAUUUUCCAGAUGCACAAACUGAACCUCAGCUGAGCUCAGCCAGUAGAAAGCAGAGAAGACUCAAACCUGGAUCCAAGCACAUGCUUUUUCUGCUGCUUCACACACAGCAGACUGAGACCUAUUCCUCACAGAGAAGGAGGGAGACAGUUUUUAAAUUCGAAUCCUUUGUGCGUCAAGGUUCUUGGGCCAGGCAUAGCGAGCAGGAUUGGCUAGAUAAAUAUAAAUAGACACAAGCAGAAGACUACUCAGGUUGCAUUUCACUCACCGUGCUGAAGGUAAUACAUGUUUGUCCGGAGCAGACAAAUAACACUCAAUAAAAGUGGUUACAGAGAUGAGUUUGAUUUCGAAGUGGUGUUGGCCUUGAAAGGGUUUAAGGAAAAGGAGAAAGAUGACUGUAAGAUAAGGGUGAUUAUCUGUUCUCUCCCUUCAUUAAGGUGGCAUCCCGGACAGCGUGGCGGUGAGACAAGUGGAGCAGGUCGUUGGGGAGCCGUGUUGCAUAGAUAAGGACAUCGUUCACCCCUGACUAUUUCCAAGACAUUUCUAACAGCUGUGUAAUAUUCCACAAGAACUUAACCUACUCAGCCCUUGUUCUGUCGAUGGGCAUACCAAUGGUUUUCAGUUCUCUGUUCCUGGACACAGAGUGGCAGCAACCUCCUUGAACACAUGUCUUUACAAUUUUGUUUUUUCUUUUUUCCUCUUUCAUGAAUCAAGAAUCUUGAUAAUUAAAGCCCAUUUCCUCUUAACGAUGUUUGCCUGGCUAUUGGCAUUUAACUGAGAUCUGAAGUGUGGUCCUUCUGGUGGUUAUUUCAUGCUGAUCAUUCCGGGCACCUUGACAUGCCAUGUUGAUUAGCCAGAGUUCCUCCUUCCUGCUGUCAGCCUGUGUUUAAAGCUUGAGCACAUGGAAUACCUUGCGUGUUACAUCUGUGAGAGGACCACCUUUUAUCAUGUGGGACAGCCAUGUGAAGAAACUGUUGGAUUUCGCUGUGUGCUUUAAAAAAAUUUUUUGCAUUGUUUUUACAACUGUGUUAAAACUAGAUACGGUCUGAACCAAGGGCUUUCCAAAAUGUGAGUUCAGAAGGGAAGGAAAAGAGAGCACAAACCAAGAUCCCUUAAGUACUGCUUGUAUCUGAAGUCUGGUGUGGGUUAGGGGGUGGAACAGUGGUGACGAACGGAUGGCGCAUAAUUAAUCAUAAUAAGCCUUUGUGAUCCUCUGCGCUGUCCAGUGAGAAGACGGAAGAGCCGCUAGGUGCUUCUGGCGUUUAGCAAAGCCUUCCCUGAAUGGAAAGGGACCUUCAUCAAGAUGUCAGCCUUGGCACAUGUUGUCACACUAAUCUUCUGGCUCCUCUGAUUCCAGCCAGGCUGUUGAAGAGAAAGCCAGCACCUGACCCAUCCCCCAGAGAGGUGUACAGAAGGGCUGGGAGCCAAGCCCCAGCUGAGGAGAGAAGGUUUGCUGAAGGGAUGUGUCAUAGAGGCCCCAGAUCUGCAUCUGGAGGGAGGAUAGGGGGGCAGGAGCUUUUCACACUCUGCCCACUAAAACCCAGUUUCUUCCUUUUGUUCCAGAGCCUGGA
Molecule: long non-coding RNA, 7540 nt
Organism: Neofelis nebulosa (Clouded leopard)
Lineage: Eukaryota; Metazoa; Chordata; Mammalia; Carnivora; Felidae
Exons: 2
Source: RefSeq, a predicted model, not a curated record